Molecule: transfer RNA, 76 nt
Filed under: Chloroflexia bacterium
Lineage: Bacteria; Bacillati; Chloroflexota; Chloroflexia
Description: tRNA-Thr
Rfam family: tRNA
About the family: Transfer RNA (tRNA) molecules are approximately 80 nucleotides in length.
Source: RNAcentral
GCCCACGUAGCUCAGUCGGCAGAGCACAUUCUUGGUAAGAAUGAGGUCACCGGUUCAAAUCCGGUCGUGGGCUCCA